ACUCCUACGGGAGGCAGCAGUGGGGAAUAUUGCACAAUGGGGGAAACCCUGAUGCAGCCAUGCCGCGUGUGUGAAGAAGGCCUUGGGUUGUAAAGCACUUUCAGUAGGGAGGAAGGUAGUGUAGUUAACACCUGCACUAUUUGUACGUUACCUACAGAAGAAGCACCGGCUAACUCCGUGCCAGCAGCCGCGGUAAUACGGAGGGUGCGAGCGUUAAUCGGAAUUACUGGGCGUAAAGCGCAUGCAGGCGGCCUGUUAAGUCAGAUGUGAAAGCCCGGGGCUUAACCUCGGAAUUGCAUUUGAAACUGGCAGGCUAGAGUCUUGUAGAGGGGUUAGAAUUUCAGGUGUAGCGGUG
RNAcentral lists this ribosomal RNA (355 nucleotides) under uncultured bacterium. RNAcentral's name for it is "bacterial SSU rRNA". It matches the Rfam family "Bacterial small subunit ribosomal RNA", at positions 335 to 683 of the family's 1533-position model. The record is from RNAcentral.